Molecule: long non-coding RNA, 392 nt
Organism: Rana temporaria (common frog)
Lineage: Eukaryota; Metazoa; Chordata; Amphibia; Anura; Ranidae
Exons: 4
Source: RefSeq, a predicted model, not a curated record
ACCCGUGUCUCUUCUCUUUUUGUUUUGCAGUUCCAUUGUGCGCAAACGCGGGCAGCCGGGGCGCCGAGGACAGCAGUUAUCUCUCCUCCCCCAUGAGGCCGAGCUAUUAGCUGGGAUAGGGGAGGAUGAGAUCACCCAGCUGCAGGCUCAUCAAGAUCGUAUCAAGGCCCAGCGCCACCGGAAGCGGAGGGAGGAGGAGGAGCAGGAGUCCUCCAGUUCAUCCUCGACAUCAAGCAGUGCUAUCCAGUCAGAGGGGGAGACGCAGGAGGAGGAGGAGGCUGAGGCGGGAACGCCCACAUCUACUGAGGCUGAGCAGGAUGUGGAGGAGAUCUGCCCUGUAGAGGCUGCUGGGGAUGCUCAAGAUGGUGUCCAACAGCCAGGCGCGUCAGGUC